UUAACUAAAUUUUGUAUGGAAUCGAAACGUUUGCCUAUGUUUGCCAUUAGGGGCGCUGUUCCAACUGCAUACAAAUUUGAGUUA
Bombyx mori (domestic silkworm) is the source of this 84-nucleotide non-coding RNA. The record is from Rfam. NCBI's taxonomy places the organism in Eukaryota, Metazoa, Arthropoda, Insecta, Lepidoptera, Bombycidae.